RNAcentral lists this ribosomal RNA (661 nucleotides) under Streptomyces sp. AMT2. Its description in RNAcentral is "bacterial SSU rRNA". It matches the Rfam family "Bacterial small subunit ribosomal RNA", at positions 340 to 1010 of the family's 1533-position model. The record is from RNAcentral. Lineage: Bacteria; Bacillati; Actinomycetota; Actinomycetes; Kitasatosporales; Streptomycetaceae.
UACGGGAGGCAGCAGUGGGGAAUAUUGCACAAUGGGCGCAAGCCUGAUGCAGCGACGCCGCGUGAGGGAUGACGGCCUUCGGGUUGUAAACCUCUUUCAGCAGGGAAGAAGCGCAAGUGACGGUACCUGCAGAAGAAGCACCGGCUAACUACGUGCCAGCAGCCGCGGUAAUACGUAGGGUGCGAGCGUUGUCCGGAAUUAUUGGGCGUAAAGAGCUCGUAGGCGGCUUGUCGCGUCGGAUGUGAAAGCCCGGGGCUUAACCCCGGGUCUGCAUUCGAUACGGGCAGGCUGGAGUUCGGCAGGGGAGAUUGGAAUUCCUGGUGUAGCGGUGAAAUGCGCAGAUAUCAGGAGGAACACCGGUGGCGAAGGCGGAUCUCUGGGCCGAUACUGACGCUGAGGAGCGAAAGCGUGGGGAGCGAACAGGAUUAGAUACCCUGGUAGUCCACGCCGUAAACGUUGGGCACUAGGUGUGGGCGACAUUCCACGUCGUCCGUGCCGCAGCUAACGCAUUAAGUGCCCCGCCUGGGGAGUACGGCCGCAAGGCUAAAACUCAAAGGAAUUGACGGGGGCCCGCACAAGCGGCGGAGCAUGUGGCUUAAUUCGACGCAACGCGAAGAACCUUACCAAGGCUUGACAUACACCGGAAACCGCCAGAGAUGGU